GUGUAAAUGUGGGCAUACCUGGAGCAGGAAUCCGUGCUCGUUGGCGUUGAGGUGCCAGUGAGGAGCUCGCAGCCCCUGGCUCCGCAUCCUCAGGGUUGCCAAGGUUAUUUGGGAUCGCUGGGAAUGGAGGCUUUGAGCCAAUUCCCGAAUUUCCGGAGUUCCGUAUUCCCGGGGAUCCCGGCGGAACCCAAAUGGGGAAAAAUUGGGAGAAAUCCUGGCCAAAAUUGGGGAAUUUUGGGGGGAAAAAAUAGGGGAAAAAUUGGGAAAAAUCAUGGGAAAAAUAGGGGAAAAAUCAGGGAAAAAAUCAGAAAAAAAUGGAGAAAAAUCAGAAAAAAAUCAGGGAAAAAAUCAGAAAAAAAUGGAGAAAAAUCAGAAAAAAAUCAGAAAAAAAUCGGAAAAAAAUUCCGGGAAAAUCGGGAAAAAAAUCAGAAAAAAAUCAGAAAAAAAUGGAGAAAAAUCAGAAAAAAAUCAGGAAAAAAAUCGGAAAAAAAUUCCGGGAAAAUCAGGAAAAAAUCAGGAAAAAAAUCGGAAAAAAUGGAGAAAAAUCAGAAAAAAAUCAGGAAAAAAAUCGGAAAAAAAUGGGAAAAAAAUCAGAAAAAAAUCAGAAAAAAAUUCAAAAAAAAUCCAAAAAAAAUUCAAAAAAAAUCAGAAAAAAAUCCGAAAAAAAUCAGAAAAAAAUCCCCAAAAAAUGAGAAAUAUUUGGGAGAAUUGUGGCUAAAUUUUGGAGCAAUGUGUGAAUUUGGGGUGUAAAUGUGGGCAUACCUGGAGCAGGAAUCCGUGCUCGUUGGCGUUGAGGUGCCAGUGAGGAGCUCGCAGCCCCUGGCUCCGCAUCCUCAGGGUUGCCAAGGUUAUUUGGGAUCGCUGGGAAUGGAGGCUUUGAGCCAAUUCCCGAAUUUCCGGAGUUCCGUAUUCCCGGGGAUCCCGGCGGAACCCAAAUGGGGAAAAAUUGGGAUAAAUCCUGGCGAAAAUUGGGGAAUUUUGGGGGGAAAAAAUAGGGAAAAAUUGGGAAAAAUCAUGGGAAAAAUAGGGGAAAAAUCAGGGAAAAAAUCGGAAAAA
RNAcentral lists this long non-coding RNA (1056 nucleotides) under Cyanistes caeruleus (blue tit). Its description in RNAcentral is "lncRNA (ENSCCEG00000001738.1)". Lineage: Eukaryota; Metazoa; Chordata; Aves; Passeriformes; Paridae. The record is from RNAcentral.